ACCCGAAGUCGGUGAGGUAACCUUUUAGGAGCCAGCCGCCGAAGGUGGGACAGAUGAUUGGGGUGAAGUCGUAACAAGGUAGCCGUAUCGGAAGGUGCGGCUGGAUCACCUCCUUUCUAAGGA
RNAcentral lists this ribosomal RNA (123 nucleotides) under Bacillus subtilis. RNAcentral describes it as "partial 16S ribosomal RNA". It matches the Rfam family "Bacterial small subunit ribosomal RNA", at positions 1419 to 1533 of the family's 1533-position model. RNAcentral also lists the same sequence under 1 other name. The record is from RNAcentral. Lineage: Bacteria; Bacillati; Bacillota; Bacilli; Caryophanales; Bacillaceae.